RNAcentral lists this ribosomal RNA (424 nucleotides) under uncultured bacterium. RNAcentral's name for it is "bacterial SSU rRNA". It matches the Rfam family "Bacterial small subunit ribosomal RNA", at positions 355 to 796 of the family's 1533-position model. The record is from RNAcentral.
UGGGGAAUAUUGGACAAUGGGCGCAAGCCUGAUCCAGCAAUGCCGCGUGAGUGAUGAAGGCCUUAGGGUUGUAAAGCUCUUUCACCGGGGACGAUGAUGACGGUACCCGGAGAAGAAGCCCCGGCUAACUUCGUGCCAGCAGCCGCGGUAAUACGAAGGGGGCUAGCGUUGUUCGGAAUUACUGGGCGUAAAGCGCGCGUAGGCGGCGGUUCAAGUCGGGGGUGAAAGCCCGGGGCUCAACCUCGGAAAUGCCUUCGAGACUGGACUGCUGGAGUGCGGAAGAGGGUCGUGGAAUUCCCAGUGUAGAGGUGAAAUUCGUAGAUAUUGGGAAGAACACCGGUGGCGAAGGCGGCGACCUGGUCCGUAACUGACGCUGAGGCGCGACAGCGUGGGGAGCAAACAGGAUUAGAUACCCGCGUAGUCC